Molecule: ribosomal RNA, 301 nt
Filed under: uncultured bacterium
Lineage: Bacteria
Description: partial 16S ribosomal RNA
Rfam family: Bacterial small subunit ribosomal RNA
Source: RNAcentral
CAGCCGCCACGGUAAUACGAAGGGGGCUAGCGUUGCUCGGAAUUACUGGGCGUAAAGCGUGCGUAGGUGGUGGUUUAAGUCCGUUGUGAAAGCCCUGGGCUCAACCUGGGAAUUGCAGUGGAUACUGGGUCACUAGAGUGUGGUAGAGGAUAGUGGAAUUUCCGGUGUAGCAGUGAAAUGCGUAGAGAUCGGAAGGAACAUCUGUGGCGAAGGCGACUAUCUGGGCCAACACUGACACUGAGGCACGAAAGCGUGGGGAGCAAACAGGAUUAGAUACCCCCGUAGUCCCUGUCUCUUAUAC